This 429-nucleotide ribosomal RNA is filed under the name Triticum aestivum (bread wheat). RNAcentral's name for it is "partial small subunit ribosomal RNA". Lineage: Eukaryota; Viridiplantae; Streptophyta; Magnoliopsida; Poales; Poaceae. The record is from RNAcentral.
GUGCUUAAGAUAGAUUUAGCUAAAGCUGUUGAGAGAACUAAGUUGUGCUUUAUCAAGAGAGCCUUGCUACUUAAAGGGCUACAUAGUCAUUUUGCAAAUUUAAUUAUGGAUUGUAUUUCUUCUGCCACCUUUUCUAUUCACAUUAAUGGCCAACCGUUUGGCAGCUUUAGGUGAUCUCGAGGUAUCCGACAAGGUUGUCCUUUGUCUCCUUAUCUUUUUAUUCUAGUGGUUAAUGAGUUAUUGUUUACAAUGCAGGAGGCUUUAAAUGCUAAUCAUUUGAGAAGUAUUCAGUUGGGUCCUGAUUGUCCUCUUAUCCACUCUUUAAUGUUUGCUGAUGAUCUUAUUGUUUGUGGUAGGGCUGAUAAUGAUGACGCUAAUGUGAUAGCUUCUAUUACUUCAAUUUUGUGCAGUUUCUGGACAAACUCCUAA